Long non-coding RNA from Populus trichocarpa (black cottonwood), 2971 nucleotides. RefSeq lists it as uncharacterized. The record is from RefSeq and is a predicted model, not a curated record. Lineage: Eukaryota; Viridiplantae; Streptophyta; Magnoliopsida; Malpighiales; Salicaceae. The transcript has 2 exons.
CGUAUCGGACAAUAAACUCAUGUACACUUUCUCAAUUUCUGACAGAUUGCACAACAGCGGUGCUUUGAUUUUAUUUUUUUUUACUGUUUUCACUGAUUAGCAUGUCCAUUCAGCCACUUUCUCAAUUUCUACCUUCUGUUUUCAAGAUUCCUUUGCUUAUAUGGGGUUACCCAUGGUGGCGGUGGCGAAGCUCAACCUCCUAUUAUCUACCUCCCACACCGGAGCCUCCUUGGUUACUUUCCUGCUAUUCCCUUACGUGCUUAAACUCACGUUCACUGUCAGGCUUUUUCGUCGAGCUUACACCGGUCUGCUCCACUCAUCCAGGCUCUUCUUAUUUCAGUUGAGCCAAAUCGCCUUCGAUACUGAUCAACCUGCUCCGGUAGGCAAUGAUAGCACCAGACUGAGGAGAGCUCUGAGGUUAAUUUAUCAGAGAGUAACAAGAACAAGAAGGUCACAAACCACACAAGAUGAUGAGGAUAAUUUCAAUGCCCUCUCCAUGUUUUCUCUUUAGUCAAGUAAUGGUGAUGGAAAAAGAAUGUCAUGCCAUGAUGAUGAACAACGCCUAGCUCGUGCUUACCCUUUAAAAUUAUGUUAUCAUUCUUGUUCGAAAAGCCACUAAAUUGCAUUUGUUUUGGGAGUCCGAAAGUAGAAAUAGAUAAAUAAUUGUUUUGUCAUGCCAUUAUUAAUGCUGGAAAAGAAUCUAGUAGAAUCCAUCUGGGCCUUGGUAGGAUAAGGCCCAGUCUCAUGAAAUUGGAGAUAGAAUCAGCCUGUCUUAGUUUGUUGGUGCACAGAUGGCCCACUCUACUUUGUUAUGGACUCUCAAGCCCAACUGUGAUACAAAAGAUAGAAGAUUAUCCGAUUUUAUAUAUAUAUUUUUUUUAAGAUUCGGGUUUCUCUAAAUGAUCUCACUGCCAACCUUUUAGUUCAUAAACUAAAAUCGUGGAUAAAGUACUGUAGUCAAAUAUUUUGUUAUUCUCAAAACAAAUCAAAUAACUAGUUAUGGGAGAUAAUAUGAUAUUUUUACAGGGGUUCAUUGGUCAUUACUGUAUCUAUUGAGGCUAGUUCAGUUUUUUUGCAUUUUGUAUGCACACUCUAAUCACUACAUUACCCAUGAAAUUAGAUUUUUCAAAACCACUGGCAGGAGUAUUUUUGUAUUUUUAAUUAUUUAUUCAUGGUAAAAUAAUUUAAUUAUCCCUAAAUUUAAAUUCUCAUUUCCUUGUGGUUAGGGGCGUUUUGAUAUUUUUAUUAUGGUAUUUUCAAUACAAUUAAGUUGAUGGAGGGAUAACUUAUUAAUUUUAGAAAAAUAAUAUUAUUUUUCUUUAAAAAACUUCUCACGAGUACACUACUCACAUCAACACGUGGGUUACUCUCGCGCCAUUCAAGAGGCAUGUGGUAAGGCUUAUGGCAGCCAAAUAGUGGCUUUUAGGGUGACGUUUGAAUCGUCUUGACAGCUCCUUCCAUCCCUGGACAACAUGUAUGGUGAAAGGAAUUUUGGUUUGGUGUCGAUGAGCUUUUUUUUAUUCUUUUUUCUUUCUUUAAUUUCCGCACCUAACCUUGCAAAAUUUUAAAGUAACACUUCAAUUUGUUUUUCAUUCAAAUAUGAUUAAUGUUCUUUUAAUUGAUAUUUUUUUAUUUGACGUAGUUUAUAAAAUUGAUUUUUUUUUAAUUUUAUCCUCCUUAAAUUUUUUGUAUGUCAAAUUAGGUUCAUAUUAUUUUUAUUGUUAUUUUUUAAUUAACUUUUAUGAUUGGAUUUUUUUAUUAUUAUUUCAUCCUUCAAUUUUUUCCAAUCAUAUUUUAUCCUUUUUUUUUUAACUUUUGACAAACUUUUUAAAUUGAUUUUUUUUGUUUCAUCCUCCAACAUUAAAUUGAUUGAGAAUUUAUCUUCUUGAUUGAGUCUAAGUUUAGGAUUUCACGAGGUGUGGGUUUAAGAGAUUAACAUGGGUUUAAAGAUUCGUUCGGAUUUGCUUGGUUUAUUUUCUCUUUUUUAAACUCAUGUUUUUCAUUUUCAUCUUUCAACAUUUAUUUAAUUAGAGAUCUGGCUUCGUUAUUUUUAUUUUAUUUUAUUUUCUAUAUAAUUUUUAAUGAUUUUGAAAAUGACUUGAGUUAUCUCGGGUCUUUUUAUUUGCUGUUCUUUUUAAAAUUUUCCUAUCUUUAAAAAAAAAGAUAUUUUGUUUUUAAUAUAUUAAAUUAAUUGAUUAAAUGCAAGCAUGAAGUGCUCAUUUCAUGAUAUUUAAAAAAAUAAAAUUAAAAAAUAUUAUUGGGUAGACAUUUUUUUAUUGGCAUGGAUAAUCAUUUGACUAAAUAAAAUAUUUAUUCAAAGAAACAUAGUUAGCAAACACAACUUGCGAGAUCAAAUAUCUUGAUUUGUAUUUACCUCUCAAUUUUUCCAUUUUAAUCUUUACUUAUAAUUGAUGCUUGAUUGUUAAUUUUUUAUGGUAAAAAACACAUUGAAAAAGCCUAUAUAUUUAUUUUAUUUACUAAAAAUAAAAUUAUAUAACAUGUUAUAAAAUACAGGUCAAAUAGCUAAAGAUUGCUAUAGCUUGAACCAUCAUCAAUGCACAGGCCUGUUUGUUUCUGCGAUUUAAAAGUACUUUUGAAAAAAUUUAAUUUUUUUUAUUUUUUUAUUAACUUUAAAUUAAUAUGUUUUUAGUUUUUUCAAAUUAUUUUGAUGUGUUGAUGUCAAAAAUAAUUUUAAAAAAAUAAAAAAAAUUAUUAACAUGUAUUUUGAUAUAAAAUAUUAUUUGAAAAACAACCGCAAUUACACUGUGAAUGUGAAUUUAUUGGUAUGUCGAGGCCAAUAAUGAUUUAUAUGCAAGGGAGAAAGAGAAGAUAUCACGCGAGGGAUUGUAUUGGGAGCUUCUCGUUUCCGGGAUAAUGUUGUAUGUAUUUGCAUUUUUAUUUUUUUGUUUAAGGAAUCCGUCUCUUCUGCCCCGAGAUACCAAUCAAAUACCAUUUCAAGUCUUUAUCUUUC